Bufo bufo (common toad) is the source of this 242-nucleotide long non-coding RNA. RefSeq lists it as uncharacterized. The transcript is spliced from 3 exons. NCBI's taxonomy places the organism in Eukaryota, Metazoa, Chordata, Amphibia, Anura, Bufonidae. The record is from RefSeq and is a predicted model, not a curated record.
AGAGCCCAGUAUACAGAGGAUAUAUAUAUAUACAGCACUGGCUGGAGACCUCAGUGUAAGGAUCUCUUCUCUUGUUCCCAUCCAAAACAAUCCUUCUCCUGAAUGACCGAUCAGUGAUGGACAAGGACAGGAAGGAGAUCACCAGAAGAAUAUUAGAUGUCACCUUGGAGAUCAUCUCCCUGCUGAGCGGAGAGGAUUACACCCUAGUGAAGAAGACAUCGGGGAGAACUCCCAUCAUCCAG